Molecule: ribosomal RNA, 358 nt
Filed under: uncultured bacterium
Lineage: Bacteria
Description: bacterial SSU rRNA
Rfam family: Bacterial small subunit ribosomal RNA
Source: RNAcentral
ACUCCUACGGGAGGCAGCAGUGGGAAUAUUGCACAAUGGGCGCAAGCCUGAUGCAGCCAUGCCGCGUGUGUGAAGAAGGCCUUCGGGUUGUAAAGCACUUUCAGUUGUGAGGAAGGUGGCGUCGUUAAUUAGCGGCGAUCAUUCGUACGUUAGCAACAGAAGAAGCACCGGCUAACUCCGUGCCAGCAGCCGCGGUAAUACGGAGGGUGCGAGCGUUAAUCGGAAUUACUGGGCGUAAAGCGCAUGCAGGUGGUUUGUUAAGUCAGAUGUGAAAGCCCGGGGCUCAAGCCUCGGAACUGCAUUUGAAACUGGCAGACUAGAGUACUGUAGAGGGGUGAGAAGUUUCAGGUUGUAGCGG